This 86-nucleotide microRNA precursor is filed under the name Solanum tuberosum (potato). RNAcentral describes it as "MIR8024 microRNA precursor family". It matches the Rfam family "MIR8024 microRNA precursor family". Lineage: Eukaryota; Viridiplantae; Streptophyta; Magnoliopsida; Solanales; Solanaceae. The record is from Rfam by way of RNAcentral.
UUGGAGGAUUUAAAGACUUCAACUUGCCAACUUAGAGGAUUUUAAGACUUCAACUCGCAUACUUGAAGCAUUUGAAGAGUUCAACU